RNAcentral lists this ribosomal RNA (253 nucleotides) under uncultured bacterium. RNAcentral describes it as "partial 16S ribosomal RNA". It matches the Rfam family "Bacterial small subunit ribosomal RNA", at positions 524 to 776 of the family's 1533-position model. The record is from RNAcentral.
UACGUAGGGGGCAAGCGUUGUCCGGAAUCAUUGGGCGUAAAGCGCGUGUAGGCGGCUGACUAAGUCCGCUCUGAAAGCCCGGGGCUCAACCCCGGGAGGCGGGUGGAUACUGGUCAGCUCGAGUCCGGAAGAGGAGUGUGGAAUUCCCGGUGUAGCGGUGAAAUGCGCAGAUAUCGGGAGGAACACCAAUGGCGAAGGCAGCUUGCUGGGACGGUACUGACGCUGAGGCGCGAAAGCGUGGGGAGCAAACAGG